AGACCUACAGCUAAGGUCCCAAAUGUAUGCUAAGUGGAAAACGAUGUGGAGUUGCAAAAACAACCAGGAUGUUGGCUUAGAAGCAGCCAUUCAUUAAAAGAGUUCGUAAUAGAUCACUGGUCGAGUGACUCUGCGCGGAAAAUAUAACGGGGCUAAGCAUGCAACCGAAGCUUAGGAUUGUCGAAAGACAGUGGUAGGGGAGCGUCGUGUACGGGGUGAAGUCUGAGCGGAAGCACAGGUGGACUGUACAGGAGUGAGAAUGCCGGAAUGAGUAGCGAGAAUUAUGUGGGAAUCAUAAUGGCCGAAAAUCUAAGGUUUCUUGGGGAAGGUUCGUCCGCCCAAGGUAAGCCGGGAGCUAAGGCGAGGCCGCAAGGCGUAGUCGAUGCACAUACGGUAGAAAUUCCGUAGCCACCGAACUUUAAACCAGAAGGACACUUGCAGAUAGCGGAACCCAGCCGUUGGUUGAGCUGGGCGAAAGGGACUGAAAUAUAGUAGGGAAGUCCGCGAUGCUGUGAGGCGAGAAAAGCUCUGGUGUAUACUAAGGUGCCCGUACCGCAAACCGACACAGGUAGAUGAGGAGAGAAUCCUAAGGCCAACGGGAGAAGGGUUGUUAAGGAACUCGGCAAAUUGACCCCGUAACUUCGGAAGAAGGGGAGCCUCGAAAGAGGCCGCAGUGAAUAGGCCCAAGCAACUGUUUACCAAAAACACAGGUCUAUGCUAAAUCGAAAGAUGACGUAUAUGGGCUGACGCCUGCCCGGUGCCGGAAGGUUAAGAGGAGAGCUUAGCGCAAGCGAAGGUUUGAAUUGAAGCCCCGGUAAACGGCGGCCGUAACUAUAACGGUCCUAAGGUAGCGAAAUUCCUUGUCAGGUAAGUUCUGACCCGCACGAAUGGCGUAAUGAUUUGGGCACUGUCUCAACAGCCCGCCCGGCGAAAUUGUAGUACUGGUGAAGAUGCCAGUUACCCGCAACUAGACGGAAAGACCCCAUGGAGCUUUACUGCAGUUUAAUACUGGGAAUCGGUAAUUCAUGUACAGGAUAGGUGGGAGACUGAGAAGCACGGCCGUCAGGUCGUGUGGAGUCACCGGUGGGAUACCACUCUUGGAUUGCUGGUUUCCUAACCUGCGGCCCUGAAUCGGGUCGGGGGACACUGUUAGACGGGCAGUUUGACUGGGGCGGUCGCCUCCAAAAGAGUAACGGAGGCGCUCAAAGGUUCGUUCAGCACGGACGGAAAUCGUGCAUUGAGUGUAAACGCAUAAACGAGCCUAACUGCGAGACCGACGGGUCGAGCAGUAACGAAAGUUGGAGUUAGUGAUCCGGUGGUAUGUGAGUGGAAAUGCCAUCGCUCAACGGAUAAAAGCUACCCUGGGGAUAACAGGCUGAUCUCCCCCAAGCGU
RNAcentral lists this ribosomal RNA (1393 nucleotides) under human gut metagenome. Its description in RNAcentral is "bacterial LSU rRNA". It matches the Rfam family "Bacterial large subunit ribosomal RNA", at positions 1029 to 2499 of the family's 2925-position model. The record is from RNAcentral.